GCAGAGGGAACAGCAAGAGUCAAGUUCCUGAGGCAAGAAUACCCCAUGACUGUUCAAAACAGCAAGAACCCAGUGAGGAUGGAGCGUAGUGAGCAAGGAAGACAGAGGAGGGGGGUAAGAUUAGAGGUCUUGGCAGUAGGGGAAGGUGUUCAUACAAGGACCUGUGGGGUGCGGAGAGGUGUUUGAAUUUUAAGCUAGGUGUCAUCAGAGACUUUGAAGGAUUUCAUGAAAGUGAGUGCAAGAUCUGACUUCUGCUUUUGUGACAUUACUCUAGCUGCUAAGUGCAUAUAGAGUCUCAAGAACAAAAGCCAUAAGCCCAGUUAAGAGACUAUGAAGGGAGGUGGGCAAGAGAUAAAUGGAAGCUCAGACCCACGUGCUCCACAGGAGCAGUAUAAAGGGGUCAGAUCCAAGAAAUUAAAGCUUGAGCCAAUAAGAUAUAUAGUGGAUUAAGUUUGGGGAUGACCAUGUCCCUAAAACCAUGUUGGCUAAUGGCUGUAUCUACUGUAACUAAAAAGAUGCUCAAAAAUAUGUGUUAAUUGAACAAACUGAUCUGAGAGCCAGAAACAUAAAUCCCAGUUCCACUCAUUUACCAUCUAUCUAACAGUUCUUUGCCUAAGUCUUACUUUCAGACAUGUGGUGGUCAUCAGGAAGACAAUAAUGAGGAUUGAAAGAACUACUCUGCCACAGCCUUCAAUCUGGAGUCACAAGUCAGGCAGUGACUGUAAUAGCCCAGGCUGAGUUUAUAUGGAGUGACAUAGGGCAACCAAGGACUUCACUUGUUCCGUAUCAAGGGACUUACAGAGAGGACUCAUCUGAUUGAGAGCUUACAUAACUAAAAUCAAAUCUGCCCAAGAGCCAACUUAUAGAGUAACUGCCUUCUGCUUUCCAAGGUGUUGUGAUUAGAUUACCAAAUAAACUAAUCCUGUGUUAAUACUUCAAAAUUCUAGCCUCACAGAGAAUGUUAAAUCAAGGGAAAAAGAAUGAUAGGGUUUACCUGAGUAAUAUAUCCAAGAAAAUAAAAAUCCUGAAAUUCUCA
Molecule: long non-coding RNA, 1036 nt
Filed under: Equus caballus (horse)
Lineage: Eukaryota; Metazoa; Chordata; Mammalia; Perissodactyla; Equidae
Description: lncRNA (ENSECAG00000045679.1)
Source: RNAcentral